This 495-nucleotide ribosomal RNA is filed under the name uncultured bacterium. RNAcentral describes it as "partial 16S ribosomal RNA". It matches the Rfam family "Bacterial small subunit ribosomal RNA", at positions 28 to 507 of the family's 1533-position model. The record is from RNAcentral.
GACGAACGCUGGCGGCGUGCCUAAUACAUGCAAGUAGAACGCUGAAGGAGGAGCUUGCUUCUCUGGAUGAGUUGCGAACGGGUGAGUAACGCGUAGGUAACCUGCCUGGUAGCGGGGGAUAACUAUUGGAAACGAUAGCUAAUACCGCAUAAUAGCAGUUGUUGCAUGUUAACUGUUGGAAAGGUGCAAUUGCACCACUACCAGAUGGACCUGCGUUGUAUUAGCUAGUUGGUGGGGUAACGGCUCACCAAGGCGACGAUACAUAGCCGACCUGAGAGGGUGAUCGGCCACACUGGGACUGAGACACGGCCCAGACUCCUACGGGAGGCAGCAGUAGGGAAUCUUCGGCAAUGGACGGAAGUCUGACCGAGCAACGCCGCGUGAGUGAAGAAGGUUUUCGGAUCGUAAAGCUCUGUUGUAAGAGAAGAACGAGUGUGAGAGUGGAAAGUUCACACUGUGACGGUAUCUUACCAGAAAGGGACGGCUAACUACGUG